UCCCAGGUGGUCCAGUUGCUAGGACUCUGCGCUUCCAAUGCAGGGGUCCCGGGUUCUGCCUCUGGUCAGGGAA
Molecule: transfer RNA, 73 nt
Filed under: Bos taurus (domestic cattle)
Lineage: Eukaryota; Metazoa; Chordata; Mammalia; Artiodactyla; Bovidae
Also listed under: 2 other names
Rfam family: tRNA
About the family: Transfer RNA (tRNA) molecules are approximately 80 nucleotides in length.
Source: Rfam by way of RNAcentral